GAUGAACGCUGGCGGCGUGCCUAAUACAUGCAAGUCGAGCGAACAGACGAGGAGCUUGCUCCUCUGACGUUAGCGGCGGACGGGUGAGUAACACGUGGAUAACCUACCUAUAAGACUGGGAUAACUUCGGGAAACCGGAGCUAAUACCGGAUAAUAUAUUGAACCGUAUGGUUCAAUAGUGAAAGACGGUUUUGCUGUCACUUAUAGAUGGAUCCGCGCCGCAUUAGCUAGUUGGUAAGGUAACGGCUUACCAAGGCAACGAUGCGUAGCCGACCUGAGAGGGUGAUAGGCCACACUAGAACUGAGACACGGUCCAGAAUCCUACGGGAGGCAGCAGUAGGGAAUCUUCCGCAAUGGGCGAAAGCCUGACGGAGCAACGCCGCGUGAGUGAUGAAGGUCUUCGGAUCGUAAAACUCUGUUAUUAGGGAAGAACAAAUGUGUAAGUAACUAUGCACGUCUUGACGGUACCUAAUCAGAAAGCCACGGCUAACUACGUG
RNAcentral lists this ribosomal RNA (497 nucleotides) under uncultured bacterium. Its description in RNAcentral is "partial 16S ribosomal RNA". It matches the Rfam family "Bacterial small subunit ribosomal RNA", at positions 28 to 507 of the family's 1533-position model. The record is from RNAcentral.